UGGGGAAUUUUGGACAAUGGGCGAAAGCCUGAUCCAGCAAUGCCGCGUGUGUGAAGAAGGCCUUCGGGUUGUAAAGCACUUUUGUCCGGAAAGAAAUCCUUGGCUCUAAUACAGUCGGGGGAUGACGGUACCGGAAGAAUAAGCACCGGCUAACUACGUGCCAGCAGCCGCGGUAAUACGUAGGGUGCAAGCGUUAAUCGGAAUUACUGGGCGUAAAGCGUGCGCAGGCGGUUUGCUAAGACCGAUGUGAAAUCCCCGGGCUCAACCUGGGAACUGCAUUGGUGACUGACAGGCUAGAGUAUGGCAGAGGGGGGUAGAAUUCCACGUGUAGCAGUGAAAUGCGUAGAGAUGUGGAGGAAUACCGAUGGCGAAGGCAGCCCCCCUGGGCCAAAUACUGACGCUCAUGCACGAAAAGCGUGGGGGAGCAAACAGGAUUAGAUACCCUGGUAGUCCACGCCCUAAAACGAUGUCAACUAGUUGUUGGGGAUUCAUUUCCUUAGUAACGUAGCUAACGCGUGAAGUUGACCGCCUGGGGAGUACGGUCGCAAGAUUAAAACUUAAUGAAUUGA
This 569-nucleotide ribosomal RNA is filed under the name uncultured bacterium. RNAcentral's name for it is "partial 16S ribosomal RNA". It matches the Rfam family "Bacterial small subunit ribosomal RNA", at positions 355 to 913 of the family's 1533-position model. The record is from RNAcentral.